GCCAGGCAUGGUGAUGCAUACCUGUAGUCUCAGCUACUUGGGAGGCUGAGGUGGGAGGAUCACUUGAGCCCAGGCAAUUGAGGCUGCAGUGAGCCAAGACAGUGCCACUGCACUCCAGCCUGGGCGACAGAGCAAGACCCCAUCUCUA
Molecule: non-coding RNA, 148 nt
Filed under: Nomascus leucogenys (northern white-cheeked gibbon)
Lineage: Eukaryota; Metazoa; Chordata; Mammalia; Primates; Hylobatidae
Source: Rfam by way of RNAcentral